GGUGAACGCUGGCGGCGUGCCUAAUACAUGCAAGUCGAGCGAACGGACGAGAAGCUUGCUUCUCUGAUGUUAGCGGCGGACGGGUGAGUAACACGUGGAUAACCUACCUAUAAGACUGGGAUAACUUCGGGAAACCGGAGCUAAUACCGGAUAAUAUUUUGAACCGCAUGGUUCAAAAGUGAACGACGGUCUUGCUGUCACUUAUAGAUGGAUCCGCGCUGCAUUAGCUAGUUGGUAAGGUAACGGCUUACCAAGGCAACGAUGCAUAGCCGACCUGAGAGGGUGAUCAGCCACACUGGAACUGAGACACGGCCCAGACUCCUACGGGAGGCAGCAGUAGGGAAUCUUGCGCAAUGGGCGAAAGCCUGACGGAGCAACGCCGCGUGAGUGAUGAAGGUCUUCGGAUCGUAAAACUCUGUUAUUAGGGAAGAACAUAUGUGUAAGUAACUGUGCACAUCUUGACGGUACCUAAUCAGAAAGCCACGGCUAACUACGUG
Molecule: ribosomal RNA, 497 nt
Filed under: uncultured bacterium
Lineage: Bacteria
Description: partial 16S ribosomal RNA
Rfam family: Bacterial small subunit ribosomal RNA
Source: RNAcentral